UACGAAGGGAGCUAGCGUUGUUCGGAAUCACUGGGCGUAAAGCGCACGUAGGCGGAUGUGUCAGUCAGGGGUGAAAUCCCGGAGCUCAACCUCGGAACUGCCUUUGAUACAGCACGUCUUGAGUCCGAUAGAGGUGGGUGGAAUUCCUAGUGUAGAGGUGAAAUUCGUAGAUAUUAGGAAGAACACCGGUGGCGAAGGCGGCCCACUGGAUCGGUACUGACGCUGAGGUGCGAAAGCGUGGGGAGCAAACAGG
Molecule: ribosomal RNA, 253 nt
Filed under: uncultured bacterium
Lineage: Bacteria
Description: partial 16S ribosomal RNA
Rfam family: Bacterial small subunit ribosomal RNA
Source: RNAcentral